This 67-nucleotide transfer RNA is filed under the name Phthiridium sp. A GC-2023a. Its description in RNAcentral is "tRNA-Phe". Lineage: Eukaryota; Metazoa; Arthropoda; Insecta; Diptera; Nycteribiidae. The record is from RNAcentral.
AUUUAUAUAGCUUAUAUUAGAGUAUAAUAUUGAAGAUAUUAAGGAGAUUUUUAUUUAUCUAUAAAUA